This 562-nucleotide non-coding RNA is filed under the name uncultured Cenococcum. RNAcentral's name for it is "partial 18S ribosomal RNA". The stretch from base 65 to 425 matches the Rfam family "Group I catalytic intron". Rfam says of the family: Group I catalytic introns are large self-splicing ribozymes. They catalyse their own excision from mRNA, tRNA and rRNA precursors in a wide range of organisms. The record is from RNAcentral. Lineage: Eukaryota; Fungi; Ascomycota; Dothideomycetes; Gloniales; Gloniaceae.
AAGUCGUAACAAGGUUUCCGUAGAACAAGUCUUGCAGGAAUGAUUCCUUCCGCAGUGUACACUUGUAGAAGCCUUUGCAGCCACGCAAGUGGUAGAACUAGGCGACUUUAAAUAAUUCUAGGAUCGCUAUGCAAGUCGGCCCACGCGUGUGGUGCCGGCGACACUUUCGAAUUGACGGGGAUACCCUAAAGCCUGUCGCACCAACUCUGUGCGGGAAACCGCUGGAGGGCCCGUGCUAACUACACGGGAUGGUAACAGACGACAUGGAUACCUCCACGCCUUUGGUGUGGAUACCAUGGGCAAUCCGCAGCGAAGCCUCUAAGUCCGGCCGCCGGAUAUGAGGAACGUUCACAGACUAAGUGGAAGUGGGUGGAGCGUUCGUCGCUCUGCUUAAGAUAUAGUCGGGCCCCUUGGGAAACUGAGGGGGUGAGUACACUGCUUGAAAUUUAAACUUGAACGUGUCUCGGACAGCGCUCAUGUUAGAAUUUCGAGACUGUCGACUGCCUCGCGGUUCGACAGCUCCUAAAACGUUCCGUAGGUGAACCUGCGGAAGGAUCAUUAC